GACGAACGCUGGCGGCAUGCCUAAUACAUGCAAGUCGAGCGAACGGAUGAAGUGCUUGCACUUCUGACGUUAGCGGCGAACGGGUGAGUAACACGUAAGGAAUCUACCUAUAAGCGGGGGAUAACAUUCGGAAACGGGUGCUAAUACCGCAUAAUAUCUUCUUCCGCAUGGAAGAAGAUUGAAAGACGGCUCUGCUGUCACUUAUAGAUGACCUUGCGGUGCAUUAGUUAGUUGGUGGGGUAACGGCCUACCAAGACGAUGAUGCAUAGCCGGCCGGAGAGGGUGAUCGGCCACAUUGGGACUGAGACACGGCCCAAACGCCUACGGGAGGCAGCAGUAGGGAAUCUUCCGCAAUGGGCGAAAGCCUGACGGAGCAAUGCCGCGUGAGUGAAGAAGGCCUUCGGGUCGUAAAACUCUGUUAUAAGAGAAGAACAAAUUGUAGAGUAACUGCUACAGUCUUGACGGUAUCUUAUCAGAAAGCCACGGCUAACUACGUGCCAGCAGCCGCCGCAG
This 513-nucleotide ribosomal RNA is filed under the name uncultured bacterium. RNAcentral describes it as "partial 16S ribosomal RNA". It matches the Rfam family "Bacterial small subunit ribosomal RNA", at positions 28 to 523 of the family's 1533-position model. The record is from RNAcentral.